GACAGAGGUUGCAAACGUUGUUCGGAAUUACUGGGCAUAAAGCGCACGUAGGUGGUCCGCUAAGUCGCGUGUGAAAUGCCCCGGCUCAACCCGGGAACUGCGUCCGAUACUGGAAGGCUUGAAUCCGGGAGAGGGAUGCGGAAUUCCAGGUGUAGCGGUGAAAUGCGUAGAUAUCUGGAGGAACACCGGUGGCGAAGGCGGCAUCCUGGACCGGCAUUGACGCUGAGGCGCGAAAGCCAGGGGAGCAAACGGG
Molecule: ribosomal RNA, 253 nt
Filed under: uncultured prokaryote
Description: partial 16S ribosomal RNA
Rfam family: Bacterial small subunit ribosomal RNA
Source: RNAcentral